RNAcentral lists this ribosomal RNA (497 nucleotides) under uncultured bacterium. RNAcentral's name for it is "partial 16S ribosomal RNA". It matches the Rfam family "Bacterial small subunit ribosomal RNA", at positions 28 to 507 of the family's 1533-position model. The record is from RNAcentral.
GACGAACGCUGGCGGCGUGCCUAAUACAUGCAAGUUGAGCGCUGAAGGUUGGUACUUGUCCCGACUGGAUGAGCAGCGAACGGGUGAGUAACGCGUGGGGAAUCUGCCUUUGAGCGGGGGACAACAUUUGGAAACGAAUGCUAAUACCGCAUAAAAACUUUAAACACAAGUUUUAAGUUUGAAAGAUGCAAUUGCAUCACUCAAAGAUGAUCCCGCGUUGUAUUAGCUAGUUGGUGAGGUAAAGGCUCACCAAGGCGAUGAUACAUAGCCGACCUGAGAGGGUGAUCGGCCACAUUGGGACUGAGACACGGCCCAAACUCCUACGGGAGGCAGCAGUAGGGAAUCUUCGGCAAUGGACGAAAGUCUGACCGAGCAACGCCGCGUGAGUGAAGAAGGGUUUCGGAUCGUAAAACUCUGUUGGUAGAGAAGAACGUUGGUGAGAGUGGGAAGCUCAUCAAGUGACGGUAACUACCCAGAAAGGGACGGCUAAUUACGUG